AGGGCACAGGGGGAAUGACUAGGCGACUCGUGCCGAAGAAGGACGCGGUACACUGCGAUAAGCUUCGGUCAGGCGUGUGCAGCCGUUCAAGCCGAAGAUGUCCGAAUGGGGAAACCCACAUGACGGCAUGGUUAUGUACUCACUGCUGAACACAUAGGCAGUGCAGAGGGAACCGGGUGAACCGAAACAUCCAAGUAGCCCGAGGAAAAGAAACGAUUCCGCGAGUAGUGGCGAGCGAAAGCGGAGCAGCCCGCAGCACGAAAACACUGAGCCAAAGGGCGUGGAAAAGCCGACCGCAGAGGGUGACAGUCCCGUAGGCGAACGGUGAUAAGCUGCAGAGAGUACCGCAGGGCACGCUAAUCCGGCGGGAAGAUGGGGGGUCCACCCUCCAAGGCUAAAUACACGAGUCGACCGAUAGUGAACCAGUACCAUGAGGGAAAGUUGAAAAGAACCCCGGUGAGGGGAGUGAAAUAGACUCUGAAACCCUGUGCCUACAAUCAGUCAAAGCCGCACUAGCGGUGAUGGCGUGCCUUUUGGAGCAUGAGCCAGCGAGUUAAUUGGUGUGGUGGGGCUAAGGCAGAUACAGCCGCAGCCAGAGCGAAAGCGAGUCUGAAGAGGGCGCUAAUCGCAUCAAUUAGACACGAAACCAGGCGAGCUACCCAUGUCCAGGCUGAAGCCGGGGUAAAACCCGGUGGAGGGCCGAACUGUCGACUGUUGCAAAAGUCUUAGAUGAGAUGUGGGUAGGGGUGAUAUGCCAAUCGAGCUUGGAGAUAGCUUGUUCUCCCCGAAACUGCUUUAGGGCAGGCGUGAUGUGUUUAGGCACGGAGGUAAAGCACUGAUUGGGCUAGGGGGCGUCAGCUUACCAACCCCACUCAAACUCAGAAUACCGUGCCUCCAAGCAUUGCAGUUGACGGUGGGAGAUGAGUUUCAUCGUCGAGAGGGAAACAACCCAGACCCACGGCUAAGGUCCCCAAGCGUCUGCUAAGUGGGAAACGAGGUGGUCGUGUUGAGACAGCCAGGAGGUUGGCUUAGAAGCAGCCACCCUUUAAAGAGUGCGUAAUAGCUCACUGGUCAAACGCGGCUGCGCGGAUAACGUAACGGGGCUAAGCAGACCACCGAAGCCCGGGGUGAAAACGGUAGGGGAGCGUUGUAUGCGGGGUGAAGCAGUCUUGAAAAGGAUUGUGGACUGCACACAAGUGAGGAUGCUGGUAUAAGUAGCGAAAAAUCUGUGAGAACCAGAUUCGCCGUAAGUCUAAGGUUUCCGACGCAAGGUCAGUCCGCGUCGGGUGAGUCGAGCCUUAGCCGAGGCCGAAAGGCGUAGGUGAUGGACAACAGGUGAAUAUUCCUGUACCACCUGUCUGGAGUGAAGCGGGGACACAUGCUGGGAGUUCAGCCUCUGAGUGGAUUGAGGUGCUAAGUGAGAUAGGCGAAGACCCUGGUAGGCAAAUCCGCCGGGCGAGCUGAAGGCGCGAAGGCGAGCCGCAAGGCUGCAAGUGAAUGGGCCAGUGUGUCGAGAAAAGCCGCUAAACGAUGAAGGAUGGGUGCUCGUACCGCAAACCGACACAGGUAGACGAGUAGAAGAUACCCAGGCGAACGGGAGAACCCUCGUUAAGGAACUCGGCAAAUUAACCCCGUAAGUUCGCGAGAAGGGGUGCCACAGCAAUGUGGUCGCAGUGAAAGGGCUCUGCUAACUGUUUAACAAAACCACAGGUCUCUGCGAAAGCGAAAGCUGACGUAUAGGGGCUGAAGCCUGCCCAGUGCCGGAAGGUUAAAAGGAGGGGUCAGCGUAAGCGACGCUCUGAAUUGAAGCCCCGGUGAACGGCGGCAGUAACUAUAACUGUCCUAAGGUAGCGAAAUUCCUUGUCGGGUAAGUUCCGACCCGCACGAAUGGCCUAAUGAGUAGAGCGCUGUCUCAACGAGGGACCCGGCGAAAUUGAAGUACGUGUGAAGAUGCGCGUUACCCGCAGUAGGACAAAAAGACCCCAUGAAGCUUUACUGUAACUUGCCAUUGCGUUAGGAUGCCGUCUGUGUAGGAUAGCUGGGAGGCUGUGAAGGCAGGGCGCUAGCCUUGCUGGAGCCAACGGUGAAAUACCAGCCUGAAGGCGUUUUGACCCUAACCUGCGCCGUAAGCCGGUGCGGGAACCGUGGCAGGCGGGCAGUUUGACUGGGGCGGUCGCCUCCUAAACAGUAACGGAGGCGCCCAAAGGUUCCCUCAGGUGGAAUGGAAACCCACCCGGGCGUGUAAAGGCACAAGGGAGCUUGACUGCAAGGGAGACACCCCGCGCAGGGACGAAAGUCGGGCUUAGUGAUCCCACGGUACCGAGUGGAAGGGCCGUGGCUUACCGGAUAAAAGCUACUCUGGGGAUAACAGGCUAGUCUUGUCCAAGAGUUCACAUCGACGACAAGGCUCGGCACCUCGAUGUCGGCUCGUCGCAUCCUGGGGCUGGAGAAGGUCCCAAGGGUUGGGCUGUUCGCCCAUUAAAGCGGUACGUGAGCUGGGUUCAGACCGUCGUGAGACAGGUCGGUCUCUAUCCACUGUGGGCGCAAGGGAGUUGCGGGAGGCUGCCCCUAGUACGAGAGGACCGGGGUGGACGGAGCGCUGGUGUGCGAGUUGUCCUGCCAAGGGCACGGCUCGGUAGCCAUCUCCGGGAGUGAGAACUGCUGAAAGCAUCUAAGUAGGAAACACGUCCCAAGAUGAACUCCCUCGUGGUGAAAACCAGUAAGACCGCGCGUAGACGACGCGCUCGAUAGGUGGCGGGUGUAAGCCUCGCAAGGGGUGAGCUUAGCCAUACUAAUGGUCGAGGGCUUCUCCA
This 2813-nucleotide ribosomal RNA is filed under the name metagenomes. Its description in RNAcentral is "bacterial LSU rRNA". It matches the Rfam family "Bacterial large subunit ribosomal RNA". The record is from RNAcentral.